Long non-coding RNA from Prunus mume (Japanese apricot), 502 nucleotides. RefSeq lists it as uncharacterized. NCBI's taxonomy places the organism in Eukaryota, Viridiplantae, Streptophyta, Magnoliopsida, Rosales, Rosaceae. The record is from RefSeq and is a predicted model, not a curated record.
CUCGGAGCUGAGGGACUAGAGAGUGGAGCUGGGCCGACAUUUGGGCCUAAAAAAUGAGUUCAACGGUUUGUGUUUUGAAGGAGGCGGGGUGGCCUGAGCUUCGGAGAAGAAAUACAUUGAGGCCUUGCCGGUCGGCAAGGGUAAGUGCGCACUGGGCCUGCCCUUGUUCUGACUUUCAAAGAGCCUACCGUUCGGCAAAGUGGUCUUUUUCCCAUUAUAAUCCGGUUCUUGGAGGGAGCAUUGGAGUUGGUUCUGCAACAUCCAUUCGGGUCUAGGUCCUGAGAGCUGCAGCUGGGCUUUUGUCAAGCCUUGGAGCCGAUUUGGAAUUCUUGAGGCUGGCCCACCAAUGGCUUUUAUAGGCUUUGUUUAUUCUUAAAUCUCAACUUGAGUUGGGUCUUGUAAUAAAUAUAGUGUGCAUGCAAGUAUAUUGAAAUAACGAAAUGCAAGAAGAGGGAAUCUUAUCUCAUAGUGGGGAUGCACGUGGGCAUCCUUUAGAUUAAUU